GGCACGAUGGUGAAGUGGUAACACGGCUGUCUGCAAAACAGCCAUGCGGGGGUUCGAUUCCCCCUCGUGCCU
Molecule: transfer RNA, 72 nt
Filed under: bacterium
Lineage: Bacteria
Description: tRNA-Cys
Rfam family: tRNA
About the family: Transfer RNA (tRNA) molecules are approximately 80 nucleotides in length. Their secondary structure includes four short double-helical elements and three loops (D, anti-codon, and T loops).
Source: RNAcentral